Molecule: ribosomal RNA, 253 nt
Filed under: uncultured bacterium
Lineage: Bacteria
Description: partial 16S ribosomal RNA
Rfam family: Bacterial small subunit ribosomal RNA
Source: RNAcentral
UACGUAGGGGGCUAGCGUUGUCCGGAAUCAUUGGGCGUAAAGCGCGUGUAGGCGGCCCGGUAAGUCCGCUGUGAAAGUCGGGGGCUCAACCCUCGGAUGCCGGUGGAUACUGUGGGGCUAGAGUCCGGAAGAGGCGAGUGGAAUUCCUGGUGUAGCGGUGGAAUGCGCAGAUAUCAGGAGGAAUACCCAUAGCGAAGGCAGCUCGCUGGGACGUUACUGACGCUGAGGCGCGAAAGCGUGGGGAGCGAACAGG